Molecule: ribosomal RNA, 626 nt
Filed under: Eutypella sp. 1 DACA-2015
Lineage: Eukaryota; Fungi; Ascomycota; Sordariomycetes; Xylariales; Diatrypaceae
Description: eukaryotic LSU rRNA
Rfam family: Eukaryotic large subunit ribosomal RNA
Source: RNAcentral
ACCCGCUGAACUUAAGCAUAUCAAUAAGCGGAGGAAAAGAAACCAACAGGGAUUGCCCUAGUAACGGCGAGUGAAGCGGCAACAGCUCAAAUUUGAAAUCUGGCCCUAGUGGUCCGAAUUGUAAUUUGUAGAGGAUGCUUUGGGCGCGGUGCCUUCCGAGUUCCUUGGAACAGGACGCCUUAGAGGGUGAGAGCCCCGUACGGUUGGACACCAAGCCUAUGUAAAGCUCCUUCGACGAGUCGAGUAGUUUGGGAAUGCUGCUCUAAAUGGGAGGUAAAUUUCUUCUAAAGCUAAAUACCGGCCAGAGACCGAUAGCGCACAAGUAGAGUGAUCGAAAGAUGAAAAGUACUUUGAAAAGAGGGUUAAAUAGCACGUGAAAUUGUUGAAAGGGAAGCAUUUAUGACCAGACCUUUGCUAGGUGGAUCAUCCGGUGUUCUUCACCGGUGCACUUCGCCUAGCUUAGGCCAGCAUCGAUUUCUGUAGGGGGAUAAAGGUCUAGGGAACGUAGCUCUCUUCGAAGGGUGUUAUAGGCCCUGGGCGUAAUACCCUUACGGGGAUUCGAGGUUCGCGCUUCGGCAAGGAUGCGGGCAUAAUGGUCAUCAAUGACCCGUCUUGAAACACGGACC